Molecule: ribosomal RNA, 77 nt
Filed under: Thalassiosira oceanica
Lineage: Eukaryota; Bacillariophyta; Thalassiosirophyceae; Thalassiosirales; Thalassiosiraceae
Description: partial 28S ribosomal RNA
Rfam family: Eukaryotic large subunit ribosomal RNA
Source: RNAcentral
ACCCGCCGAAUUUAAGCAUAUAAUUAAGCGGAGGAAAAGAAACUAACAAGGAUUCCCCUAGUAACGGCGAGUGAAAA